This 27-nucleotide non-coding RNA is filed under the name Mus musculus (house mouse). Lineage: Eukaryota; Metazoa; Chordata; Mammalia; Rodentia; Muridae. The record is from RNAcentral.
UAAUGCCUUUGUCAGAUUUUGAGACGC